RNAcentral lists this ribosomal RNA (432 nucleotides) under uncultured bacterium. RNAcentral describes it as "partial 16S ribosomal RNA". It matches the Rfam family "Bacterial small subunit ribosomal RNA", at positions 29 to 507 of the family's 1533-position model. The record is from RNAcentral.
AACGAACGCUGGCGGCAUGCCUAACACAUGCAAGUCGAACGAGACCUUCGGGUCUAGUGGCGCACGGGUGCGUAACGCGUGGGAACCUGCCCUUAGGUUCGGAAUAACUCCCCGAAAGGGGUGCUAAUACCGGAUAAUGUCUUCGGACCAAAGAUUUAUCGCCUUUGGAUGGGCCCGCGUUGGAUUAGCUAGUUGGUAGGGUAAAAGCCUACCAAGGCGACGAUCCAUAGCUGGUCUGAGAGGAUGAUCAGCCACACUGGGACUGAGACACGGCCCAGACUCCUACGGAAGGCAGCAGUGGGGAAUAUUGAACAAUGGGCGAAAGCCUGAUCCAGCAAUGCGGCGUGAGUGAUGAAGGCCUUAGGUUUGUAAAGCUCUUUACCCGGGAUGAUAAUGACAGUACCGGGAGAAUAAGCUCCGGCUAACUCCGUG